RNAcentral lists this ribosomal RNA (348 nucleotides) under Triticum aestivum (bread wheat). RNAcentral describes it as "partial small subunit ribosomal RNA". The record is from RNAcentral. Lineage: Eukaryota; Viridiplantae; Streptophyta; Magnoliopsida; Poales; Poaceae.
AUGGUGGCGGCGUCGAGGCCGUGCUUGGGCUGCUGGGCCUGGCCCUGCCCUUGCAGGGGCUGUGCGCCGUGGUGCCGCGUCCUGGUGCGGCGAAGGUGGAGGAAGCGCAGGCAGAGGAAGAUGACGACGAGGAAGAAGCAGCAGGCGACGGAUGCCGCCAACGCGCUGAGCAGCGUGGUUGUGCUGCAGCACGGGGCCACGGCCUCUCCGGGCUCGAACGGCGCGAUGUAUGAGGACAUGGUGGAGGAAAUGGCUUUGGGAAACGAAGCUACAGCUAGCUAUAUAUAUGUAGACAGGUUGGUGAUCUCAAAAUUUUGGAUGGUUCUCUUGCUGGGACAGAUCAUUUAG